UGGGGGGUAUCAACCUCACAGAUGUAGUAGACCUCAUGAAUGCUUGGGUUCAGGGUCAGGGUUGGGGACUGGGGUGAAGGGCCUACCACUCUCGCCAGGCUUCCUGGCCACUCAAACUGCCUCUUUGUUCUCCAGUUUCUUGCUGUGGCUGUGGAAGUUCUAAAGGGCACUUGGCUCCUGCAAUUCAUCAAUGGUCCAGCAUCAAUAUAAUGAAGGGGACCCAGAUGAUAUAAUACAGGUGGAUGUCGGAGUCCUGAUGACAGGAAGAGAUGGAUCAGUGCAUUUCCCUUCCCAGAACCUUCUCACCAACCUUUCUGGCCAUGAAGACUACCACUCCUUUAGUGAGGACCCAGAGCAGCUGAUCCCCAUGGAGAUGAGGAAUCAAGAGUGGAGCUUCCAUCUAUAAAGGAAGGUUCCCACUGUGGCUGUUGAAGUUGCAAAGGACACUUGGCUCCUGCAAUCCAUCAGUGGUCCAGCAUCUGUUUGUUGGGGAGUCCCAGAUGAUACAACAUAGGUAAGGGAAGGAUAUGAGUAAAAAGAUAUCUACAUGAUGUGUGGCGAAGGCUUCAGUGCU
Tachyglossus aculeatus (Australian echidna) is the source of this 574-nucleotide long non-coding RNA. RefSeq lists it as uncharacterized. NCBI's taxonomy places the organism in Eukaryota, Metazoa, Chordata, Mammalia, Monotremata, Tachyglossidae. The record is from RefSeq and is a predicted model, not a curated record. The transcript has 5 exons.